GAUGAACGCUAGCGGCAGGCCUAAUACAUGCAAGUCGAACGAUACCAGAGAGCUUGCUUUCUGGGAAAGUGGCGCACGGGUGCGUAACGCGUAUGCAACCUACCUUAAUCAGGGGGAUAGCCUCUCGAAAGAGAGAUUAACACCGCAUAACAUCAUUUUAAGGCAUCGUAGAAGGAUCAAAUAUUUAUAGGAUUAAGAUGGGCAUGCGUGACAUUAGCUAGUUGGUGAGGUAACGGCUCACCAAGGCUACGAUGUCUAGGGGAUCUGAGAGGAUGACCCCCCACACUGGUACUGAGACACGGACCAGACUCCUACGGGAGGCAGCAGUAAGGAAUAUUGGUCAAUGGAGGCAACUCUGAACCAGCCAUGCCGCGUGCAGGAAGACGGCCCUAUGGGUUGUAAACUGCUUUUAUACGGGAAUAAACCUCUCUACGUGUAGGGAGUUGAAUGUACUGUAAGAAUAAGGAUCGGCUAACUCCGUGCCAGCAGCAGCCGCAG
This 498-nucleotide ribosomal RNA is filed under the name uncultured bacterium. Its description in RNAcentral is "partial 16S ribosomal RNA". It matches the Rfam family "Bacterial small subunit ribosomal RNA", at positions 28 to 523 of the family's 1533-position model. The record is from RNAcentral.